Molecule: long non-coding RNA, 267 nt
Filed under: Bos taurus (domestic cattle)
Lineage: Eukaryota; Metazoa; Chordata; Mammalia; Artiodactyla; Bovidae
Description: long non-coding RNA NONBTAT007361
Source: RNAcentral
AUAUGUGUUACACAGAGAGAACAAAAAUUUUAUUUAUCAUAAGAUAUUCACUUACAAAAUGAAAAGAUACCACAGGAUCUACCAAUACUGGUCCUGACACUCUACUUGUAAUCACAGUAAAGUAAUACUGCCUCCAUUUAUACUGACAUCCACACAUAUUCAUAAACAAUAUUACCAGUGAGAAUUAUUGUCUGUGAAUACUGAUAGGAUUGAACAGAUGAAAGUGACCCUUUCUACCACUGUGCACAGGGAAGCUGUUUUAUCCCC